CGGCGGACGGGUGAGUAACGCGUGGGUAACCUGCCCUGUACACACGGAUAACAUACCGAAAGGUAUGCUAAUACGAGAUAAUAUGCUUUUAUCGCAUGGUAGAAGUAUCAAAGCUUUUGCGGUACAGGAUGGACCCGCGUCUGAUUAGCUAGUUGGUAAGGUAACGGCUUACCAAGGCGACGAUCAGUAGCCGACCUGAGAGGGUGAUCGGCCACAUUGGAACUGAGACACGGUCCAAACUCCUACGGGAGGCAGCAGUGGGGAAUAUUGCACAAUGGGCGAAAGCCUGAUGCAGCAACGCCGCGUGAGCGAUGAAGGCCUUCGGGUCGUAAAGCUCUGUCCUCAAGGAAGAUAAUGACGGUACUUGAGGAGGAAGCCCCGGCUAACUACGUGCCAGCAGCCGCGGUAAUACGUAGGGGGCUAGCGUUAUCCGGAAUUACUGGGCGUAAAGGGUGCGUAGGUGGUUUCUUAAGUCAGAGGUGAAAGGCUACGGCUCAACCGUAGUAAGCCUUUGAAAUGGGAAACUUGAGUGCAGGAGAGGAGAGUGGAAUUCCUAGUGUAGCGGUGAAAUGCGUAGAUAUUAGGAGGAACACCAGUUGCGAAGGCG
RNAcentral lists this ribosomal RNA (607 nucleotides) under uncultured Clostridium sp. RNAcentral describes it as "bacterial SSU rRNA". It matches the Rfam family "Bacterial small subunit ribosomal RNA", at positions 96 to 723 of the family's 1533-position model. Lineage: Bacteria; Bacillati; Bacillota; Clostridia; Eubacteriales; Clostridiaceae. The record is from RNAcentral.